UCCGUAGGGUGCAAGCGUUGCCCGGAUUUAUUGGGUUUAAAGGGUGCGUAGGUGGCUUUUUAAGUCAUGGGUGAAAGCCCGCAGCUCAACUGUGGAAUUGCCUGUGAUACUGAGGAGCUUGAGUGCGGUUGAGGCAGCUGGAAUUGGUGGUGUAGCGGUGACAUGCAUAGAUACCACCAGGAACACCGAUUGCGAAGGCAGGUUGCUAAGCCGUAACUGACACUGAGGCACGAAAGCGUGGGGAGCAAACAGG
This 253-nucleotide ribosomal RNA is filed under the name uncultured bacterium. RNAcentral's name for it is "partial 16S ribosomal RNA". It matches the Rfam family "Bacterial small subunit ribosomal RNA", at positions 524 to 776 of the family's 1533-position model. The record is from RNAcentral.